RNAcentral lists this long non-coding RNA (784 nucleotides) under Nicotiana benthamiana. RNAcentral describes it as "long non-coding RNA (NBEN_LNC032701)". Lineage: Eukaryota; Viridiplantae; Streptophyta; Magnoliopsida; Solanales; Solanaceae. The record is from RNAcentral.
UAAAGGGUUGCACAUUACCCAAGUAGCAACAACAUUUGCAAUUGGGCACAAAUAGGGAAGCUAUAUAAGUAAGACAAUAAGAAAAAAAUAAUGGGGUGCCUUUGCACAAAUCAGAACAGUAACUCAAAUUUCUUAAAAACAACCGUUCACAGGAUCAACUACUAGACUUGUUGAAACAGAUGAUGUUAUUUUUCUUUCAUUUGAUUUUUUGAUUCCCAUGUGGCUUCCUCGACUUGUUGACAAUGCCAUAAUAUUGUAACUGAAGCGACUUCCUUGUUUCUCAAUUUACGGACAUGCCUAUCAAGAAUAGCAACCUGAAUUUCUUCAUGUGAUAACUCUUCAUUGACCUCGAUAGUCUCAAUUGGCACGAUUGUGGAUAGAUCUCCAUCCACUUUCUUUAAUAUGGACACGUAGAACACUGGGUGCACUAAUGACAUUUCAGGGUGCAAUUCCAGCCUAUAAGCCACAUGUCAUAUCCUUUGAAUGACCCGAUACGACCCAACAUAUAUAGAACUCAACUUUCCUUUCUUCCAAAACCGCAUCUCUCCCUUCAUAGGGGAUACCCUCAAGAACACCCAAUCAACUACUUGGAACUCCAAUUCUCUUCAACACACGUCCUUAUAGGAUUUCUGGUGACUCUGAGUAGUUUUCAUCCUCUUCUAAAUGACUUUAACUUUUUCCAUAGCCCGGUGCAUGAGAUCUGGCCCUAUCAAUUCUGCCUCACCUACUUCAAACCACCCAAUCGGAGACCUAUACCUCCUUCGGUACAAGGCCUCAAAUAGGG